CUCUCGCUCUGUCUUGCCAUGCCAACAUUUGGAUUGUCCCGCCAGGCUUCAGCAGCACAGAGGAAUUGCACCCUCAUGCAUAAGAAUUUGGAAAUAUUUUCAUACUGAGAUUCCUUUCCCUCACUUUUUGGCAUCCUGAAGCUCCAGAGUAAACCCCUGGAUUCCUCACUUGAGGAACUGCAGAAGUACCAGCAUCUGAUGGGAUGUGACUGUGGCAUGGUGAGUGGAACUGGAGAAAGGGGGUCAGUUUCAAGAGAGACUAACUUUGGUGUGGCACCAGGGGCCAGGCAGCUGCUGCUCAAACAGAGGCAAGAGCAUGUGUCUGGCACCUUAGCAUGCUCAGUGAAGAUCUCUUCUCUACAACUCUGCCUGCUGCACCUUACUGCAAAUGAGACAGUGAUCGCAAUGGUGAGAGAUUCAGUGUAAGCCGACCGGCUUGAGGUGCCUUGUGAUAUGCACACGCAUAUUCUACAUAUUUGGGAUAUAUCCUUUGACAACCAGAAGAUCUAAUGGCUGAUAAACAAGUGACCUAUGCAAGUUCGGCGGCUUGUCCUGAACAAUUGAACGGUUUGGA
Molecule: long non-coding RNA, 574 nt
Organism: Chelonia mydas (Green sea turtle)
Lineage: Eukaryota; Metazoa; Chordata; Testudines; Cheloniidae
Exons: 2
Source: RefSeq, a predicted model, not a curated record